Molecule: ribosomal RNA, 252 nt
Filed under: uncultured bacterium
Lineage: Bacteria
Description: partial 16S ribosomal RNA
Rfam family: Bacterial small subunit ribosomal RNA
Source: RNAcentral
UACGUAGGGGGCAAGCGUUGUCCGGAAUCAUUGGGCGUAAAGCGCGUGUAGGCGGCUCGAUAAGUCUGCUGUGAAAGUCCAGGGCUCAACCCUGGGAUGCGGGUGGAUACUGCAGGGCUAGAGUCCGGAAGAGGCGAGUGGAAUUCCUGGUGUAGCGGUGAAAUGCGCAGAUAUCAGGAGGAACACCGAUGGCGAAGGCAGCUCGCUGGGACGGUACUGACGCUGAGCGCGAAAGCGUGGGGAGCAAACAGG